Long non-coding RNA from Carassius gibelio (silver crucian carp), 734 nucleotides. RefSeq lists it as uncharacterized. Lineage: Eukaryota; Metazoa; Chordata; Actinopteri; Cypriniformes; Cyprinidae. The record is from RefSeq and is a predicted model, not a curated record. The transcript is spliced from 3 exons.
UUUGAGGGUUUGUUUUGCUCAGAAAUAAACACAACUUCGUUUGGAAUUCGAGUCAAUGUUUCCCCGGCGGGGAGAUACUUUGUGUCUGUUCUAAAGCUGAGAUAUUUUGUAACCGAUACAUAUUUUCCUGCUGACGUCACAGAGAGUAGGGAGAUACUUUGUAACAAUUCGCGGAUAUUUAGUAACCGCCUCGCGGACGCUUUAAAUCUGUUCUACGAGGGAAAUACAGACCAAAUAAGCAAAGUAAUCAGGAAUGAAAGUCUGAAAUGCACAUGCUUGCAGUCACAGGGCUUGACACCGCCUGGGCUGAAGCUUUGGACGGAUUCGCAGCGGUUUUACCACACAAUAGUGUCCAGAUUGCCUCACUAUAGCUGUUUGUGUCGAAUCAUAAACUCGCCACUGGAACGAGACUCCUCUUACACAGAAUAUUUUGCCUGGUCGCAUACGAACGUAUAUAGACCGUCAGUGUGCAAUAAAGAGAUAUUUCUCCACAUAAUCCCACACUAUGCAUGGGCUGUGUCCGAGCAGUUCAGACUCUUCAGCAGAGGAAAAUCACUUUCAAAAGCUCCUUACCUUCUUCCACAAGAGAUCUACCAGCCAGGGCGCUUCAAGUGACGUAACAAACCGGGAUGCGCGCGCCCGACACUGGCCUCCAUGACCGUCGUGACGUGCACGAGCUCUACUGCACUUAUGCGAGGUGGCACCACAUUGGAUGAUAUGCUGGUUAUUUACAG